This 412-nucleotide long non-coding RNA is filed under the name Homo sapiens (human). Its description in RNAcentral is "HSALNT0374903". Lineage: Eukaryota; Metazoa; Chordata; Mammalia; Primates; Hominidae. The record is from RNAcentral.
UUAAGCACGUCCUUGAUGAAGCAGCGAAAAGUGUUCAUUAUGUGGAAUUUCCAUCCUGAGUACAUGCCUUUUUCACAUCCUCAGAUGAAAUCCAGCACUUCUGCUGCACGGCAGCGUGACAGUUGACGGCAGGGGGCGCUCAUGCGGUCGUUGGAGUGAGAGUUCGCUGCCUACUUUUUGGUAGCUCUUCGCUUCUAAUUGAGAGAAUGACUGACAAACCAUGAGUGACCUGAACACCUUCCUGGUUUGAGAAGAUUAGAAGAAGAAUCUCUAUCAGGACCAGUCUUCAGCCAUAGGGGUUCUGCUUCUCGGCUUCUAUAAACAACCAGACAAAUAGUGACGGCCAAAGAAACUGUAGGGAAUUCAUAGAAUUUGUAAAAACUUGAAAAAUUAAAUCCUACAUUUAGACCCA